RNAcentral lists this ribosomal RNA (411 nucleotides) under uncultured bacterium. RNAcentral's name for it is "partial 16S ribosomal RNA". It matches the Rfam family "Bacterial small subunit ribosomal RNA", at positions 360 to 773 of the family's 1533-position model. The record is from RNAcentral.
AAUAUUGCGCAAUGGAGGGAACUCUGACGCAGCGACGCCGCGUGAGCGAUGAAGGUCUNCGGAUCNUNAAGCUCUGUCCUUGGGGNCGAAGGGAGCCGUAUGGCUUCUUGACGAUACCCAUCGAGGAAGCCCCGGCUAACCACGUUCCAGCAGCCGCGGUAAUACGAAGGGUGCAAGCGUUAAUCGGAAUUACUGGGCGUAAAGGGUGCGUAGGCGGCCUUUUAAGUCAGAUGUGAAAGGCUACGGCUUAACCGAAGUAAGCAUUUGAAACUAGAAGGGUUGAGUGCAGGGGAGGAGAGUGGAAUUCCUAGUGUAGCGGUGAAAUGCGUAGAUAUUAGGAAGAACACCAGUGGCGAAGGCGACUCUCUGGACUGCAACUGACGCUGAGGCACGAAAGCGUGGGGAGCAAAC